AUGGUAGAUGCUUGCUUCCUGGAAGCGGGCGAAGAUACUCGCCAGAUGGAGGCGGAGCUUGCCAGGGCCGUCCUGGUCACGGUCACCGGCACAAGGCCGCAGGUGGACUUAGCUUCGGCUGCUGUGGCGCUGCAUGAGACGUUCGGCAUCGGCCCUGAAGACAUGUCCAUUCGGGCCUUCUUCCCCGAGGACUUUCUCGUGCUCUGCCGUGAGGGUGCGGUCCGGGACCGGAUGGUGCGGGAAGGCCGUGCUCUCUCCCCUUGGUUUGAACUCUCGCUCCGGCCAUGGAUCAGGCAGGCGCAAGCCACAGCGGCCCCUCUACCCUACCUUGUUCCGGUCUCGCUGCGGGGUGUGCCGGCUCAUGCCUGGUGUCAGCACACGGCGAGUGUGAUUCUGCGUGGGCUUGGUUACGUCGUUGGAGUGGAUGACAGUACGGCUCGCCGGCUGGACAUGGCGGACUUUCGCGUCUGGCUGCGCACGGACAGGCCGUGGCUAAUCCCACGCCGCCGCCUCCUAUUUAUUGACGAGCCGAGGCGCACUCUCUGGUCGGAGGAGGCUGGUCGAGGUACGCCAAUGGGUGGAAGAUCGAGCGCUCUCUGGUAUCCCAUUGAGAUUUCCGUCUUGGGAGAUCCUCUGGAAGAUGGUGAUUCUGGUGGGCGGCAACCACCGCCACCGCCGCCGCCUUCGCCGCCGUCCGGCGAUGAUGAUCCCUUGCGCAAGCAGUCGUGUGGGGGGCCCCAGGGCAAUGGUGGGCGCGGUGCUUCGGGCUCGGGCUCUGAUGGAAACGGUGAUGACUCGCCGGGUUCGGUGGGCUCGUCCACGGCGGUGCAGGCGGCGCCGCCAGCAGGAAGAUGCAGGCGGAUUCAAACUGCUAUGACCCCGGUCGUGGAGGAGGACAGUGGUACCCGCGUGGCUACCGUCACUGGCACCCUUUCGGAUACUGCUGGGGGCCCGGGCUUGUCUCCCUUGGCAGGACGGCCAAUCGCAAGACCGGCAAAUGAUUCACCUGUGGGCCCGGAUGUCGUGGCUGCGCAGGGUGUGGUUGAUGGGGCCUUGGGCCCAGGGGGGCAGGCAGUGAGCGCUACGCCCAUUGGCUCCCCACCCUCGGUGCAGCUGGCGCGAUGGCGACAAAACGGGAGGCCCGAGGGAGUGUGCGCUUCGGAUCCGCUGCCCCCGGGCGCGGCAGUCCAAGUUGGGACAUUUCGGGUAAUCCUGCAGCAGGCCCAGUCGCUUUCGGUGGAAUAG
This 1245-nucleotide ribosomal RNA is filed under the name Triticum aestivum (bread wheat). RNAcentral describes it as "partial small subunit ribosomal RNA". Lineage: Eukaryota; Viridiplantae; Streptophyta; Magnoliopsida; Poales; Poaceae. The record is from RNAcentral.